GAUGAACGCUGGCGGCGUGCCUAAUACAUGCAAGUCGAGCGAACAGACGAGGAGCUUGCUCCUCUGACGUUAGCGGCGGACGGGUGAGUAACACGUGGAUAACCUACCUAUAAGACUGGGAUAACUUCGGGAAACCGGAGCUAAUACCGGAUAAUAUAUUGAACCGCAUGGUUCAAUAGUGAAAGACGGUUUUGCUGUCACUUAUAGAUGGAUCCCCGCCGCAUUAGCUAGUUGGUAAGGUAACGGCUUACCAAGGCAACGAUGCGUAGCCGACCUGAGAGGGUGUGCGGCCACACUGGAACUGAGACACGGUCCGGACUCCUACGGGAGGCAGCAGUAGGGAAUCUUCCGCAAUGGGCGAAAGCCUGACGGAGCAACGCCGCGUGAGUGAUGAAGGUCUUCGGAUCGUAAAACUCUGUUAUUAGGGAAGAACAAAUGUGUAAGUAACUAUGCACGUCUUGACGGUACCUAAUCAGAAAGCCACGGCUAACUACGUG
RNAcentral lists this ribosomal RNA (497 nucleotides) under uncultured bacterium. RNAcentral describes it as "partial 16S ribosomal RNA". It matches the Rfam family "Bacterial small subunit ribosomal RNA", at positions 28 to 507 of the family's 1533-position model. The record is from RNAcentral.